CCUACGGGAGGCUGCAGUGGGGAAUAUUGGGCAAUGGGCGCAAGCCUGACCCAGCAACGCCGCGUGAAGGAAGAAGGCUUUCGGGUUGUAAACUUCUUUUGUCAGGGAAGAGUAGAAGACGGUACCUGACGAAUAAGCCACGGCUAACUACGUGCAAGCAGCCGCGGUAAUACGUAGGUGGCAAGCGUUGUCCGGAUUUACUGGGUGUAAAGGGCGUGUAGCCGGGUUGACAAGUCAGAUGUGAAAUCCUGCGGCUUAACCGGAGAACUGCAUUUGAAACUGUUGAUCUUGAGUACUGGAGAGGCAGAUGGAAUUCCUGGUGUAGCGGUGAAAUGCGUAGAUAUUAGGAGGAACACCAGUGGCGAAGGCGGUCUGCUGGACAGCAACUGACGGUGAGGCGCGAAGGCGAGGGGAGCAAACAGGAUUAGAUACCCCAGUAGUC
RNAcentral lists this ribosomal RNA (442 nucleotides) under uncultured bacterium. RNAcentral's name for it is "partial 16S ribosomal RNA". It matches the Rfam family "Bacterial small subunit ribosomal RNA", at positions 338 to 795 of the family's 1533-position model. The record is from RNAcentral.